AUGACACUGGUUUCCUCUCCGGGUACUUUUUGGUUCCAAAAAAAGGACAAUUCCUUUCACCCAAUAUUAGACCUCCGGGAUUUCAACCACUUUGUUGCCUACCAUCAUUUCCGUAUGGUUACCCUGGAACAGGUUAUUCCCCUUGUUCAGAAAGGAGACUGGUUUGCUUUAAUAGACUUAAACAACACCUAUUUUCAUAUUUCCGUAAGGCCGGACCACCGCACGUUUCUGUGUUUCUCCCUGGGAAAAACCACUUACCAAUACAAUGCGUCCUGGUCCCCACGAGAAGCCUUGCUACAUAUCAACAACCUGGAACUUGCAAUUUUCAAAGCCUUUCGAGCCUUUCUCCCCAUCCUUGCAGGCAACGCAGUUCAAGUCACGACUGACAACACAACUGUGUUGCAUUACACUCUCUCUCUUAUACUUGACAGUACAGUUUUGGGAGUGGUGCCUUCAACACCACAUAUUCCCUUCAGCAGUCCACAUAUCGACCAGGGACAAUGCCUGGGCAGACAGCCUCAGUCGGACUACCAGUCAGAUCCACGAGUGUUCCCGGGACCAGGAAAUCUUCCUCCAAAUAUGCGACAGAUGGGGGACCCCUCAAGUGGAUGCUUUUUCUGCAAGACACAACACCAAAUGCAGUGCUUACUGGUCAAGGGCAGGCAAGGGACCGGGAUCACUGGGAGAUGCCCUCAUGGUCCCAUGGAACUCAGGUCUGCUGUACAUGUUUCCACCAAUUCCACUUUGUGUCAUCGUGAUACUCAGACAAGACAAUGUGGAUGCCAUUGUCAUAGCUCCCUACUGGCCGAGGCAGCCAUGGUUCACAAUGAUCAGGAACAUGGCGUUGGAUAUUGUGAGACUACCUCAAAUCCCGCAUCUUCUCAUGAUGCACGACGGGAGAACUUACCUCCCAGAUCUGACCUUCCUAUACCUAACCGCCUGGAGGGUAUUACCCCAAUAGAGACUAUCCUGUCUCAUUCCUGGAAACCGUCUACUAAGUCCUUAUAUGCUCGAAAAUGGAUAUCGUUUCAGAAAUUUACAGGCACCCACAAUCUAUUCCAACGUCUAUGA
RNAcentral lists this long non-coding RNA (1071 nucleotides) under Pogona vitticeps (central bearded dragon). RNAcentral describes it as "lncRNA (ENSPVIG00000016496.1)". Lineage: Eukaryota; Metazoa; Chordata; Lepidosauria; Squamata; Agamidae. The record is from RNAcentral.